RNAcentral lists this ribosomal RNA (316 nucleotides) under Lamproderma ovoideum. Its description in RNAcentral is "bacterial SSU rRNA". It matches the Rfam family "Eukaryotic small subunit ribosomal RNA", at positions 80 to 343 of the family's 1831-position model. The record is from RNAcentral. Lineage: Eukaryota; Evosea; Eumycetozoa; Stemonitida; Stemonitidae.
UCUGAAUCUGCGUACGGCUCCGCAAACCAGUUGUAAACUAUAGCAAGCAGGCUCGGGGUCGGCCUUCACGGGCUGGCCUCGGGUGAUAUGGAUAACCCUGGUAAUUCUGAGGCUAAUACAUGAACGUAGAACCCGGUUGACUAGGCUUCACGGCCCGGGAUGCUGGGGGAUGUGCGAUUGGCAGGCUUGGGUAACACCGGGAAAGGGCGCGCGUCCAGACCGCGCUAUAAAGGAUGGGCUCCUCACGGGGCCUGCCCCAGCGGCUCUUGCUGUGUGCUUCUGACCUAUCAACUAGACUGGCAGCGUAAGGGACAUG